This 851-nucleotide ribosomal RNA is filed under the name Shigella sonnei. RNAcentral's name for it is "partial 23S ribosomal RNA". It matches the Rfam family "Bacterial large subunit ribosomal RNA", at positions 335 to 1190 of the family's 2925-position model. Lineage: Bacteria; Pseudomonadati; Pseudomonadota; Gammaproteobacteria; Enterobacterales; Enterobacteriaceae. The record is from RNAcentral.
GAAGCGUCUGGAAAGGCGCGCGAUACAGGGUGACAGCCCCGUACACAAAAAUGCACAUAUUGUGAGCUCGAUGAGUAGGGCGGGACACGUGGUAUCCUGUCUGAAUAUGGGGGGCCCAUCCUCCAAGGCUAAAUACUCCUGACUGACCGAUAGUGAACCAGUACCGUGAGGGAAAGGCGAAAAGAACCCCGGCGAGGGGAGUGAAAAAGAACCUGAAACCGUGUACGUACAAGCAGUGGGAGCACGCUUAGGCGUGUGACUGCGUACCUUUUGUAUAAUGGGUCAGCGACUUAUAUUCUGUAGCAAGGUUAACCGAAUAGGGGAGCCGAAGGGAAACCGAGUCUUAACUGGGCGUUAAGUUGCAGGGUAUAGACCCGAAACCCGGUGAUCUAGCCAUGGGCAGGUUGAAGGUUGGGUAACACUAACUGGAGGACCGAACCGACUAAUGUUGAAAAAUUAGCGGAUGACUUGUGGCUGGGGGUGAAAGGCCAAUCAAACCGGGAGAUAGCUGGUUCUCCCCGAAAGCUAUUUAGGUAGCGCCUCGUGAAUUCAUCUCCGGGGGUAGAGCACUGUUUCGGCAAGGGGGUCAUCCCGACUUACCAACCCGAUGCAAACUGCGAAUACCGGAGAAUGUUAUCACGGGAGACACACGGCGGGUGCUAACGUCCGUCGUGAAGAGGGAAACAACCCAGACCGCCAGCUAAGGUCCCAAAGUCAUGGUUAAGUGGGAAACGAUGUGGGAAGGCCCAGACAGCCAGGAUGUUGGCUUAGAAGCAGCCAUCAUUUAAAGAAAGCGUAAUAGCUCACUGGUCGAGUCGGCCUGCGCGGAAGAUGUAACGGGGCUAAACCAU